AUGCAGCCAAUCAAUCUUGCCAGGAUCUCUGCACUGUGAGGCCUGGUUUGUCAUUGGCUGCAAACAAAUAGUUUCUUUGGAGUUCCUGAACCCCACAGUUUUUACAUGCUUUUCUAAAGGCUCUGGGAGACAGUU
Suncus etruscus (white-toothed pygmy shrew) is the source of this 135-nucleotide small nucleolar RNA. RefSeq annotates it as small nucleolar RNA SNORA70. NCBI's taxonomy places the organism in Eukaryota, Metazoa, Chordata, Mammalia, Eulipotyphla, Soricidae. The record is from RefSeq and is a predicted model, not a curated record. The transcript has a single exon.